UCCCAGACUCCUACGGGAGGCAGCAGUGAGGAAUAUUGGUCAAUGGGCGAGAGCCUGAACCAGCCAAGUCGCGUGAGGGAGUACUGCCCUAUGGGUUGUAAACCUCUUUUGUCGGGGAGCAAAAGCCGGACGUGUCCGGCUGUGAGAGUACCCGAAGAAAAAGCACCGGCUAACUCCGUGCCAGCAGCCGCGGUAAUACGUAGGGGGCAAGCGUUAUCCGGAUUUACUGGGUGUAAAGGGAGCGUAGACGGCAUAGCAAGUCUGAAGUGAAAGCCCGUGGCUCAACCGCGGAACUGCUUUGGAAACUGUUAAGCUGGAGUACUGGAGAGGCAAGCGGAAUUCCUAGUGUAGCGGUGAAAUGCGUAGAUAUUAGGAGGAACACCAGUGGCGAAGGCGGCUUGCUGGACAGAGACUGACGUUGAGGCUCGAAAGCGUGGGGAGCAAACAGGAUUAGAUACCCCUGUA
RNAcentral lists this ribosomal RNA (465 nucleotides) under uncultured bacterium. RNAcentral's name for it is "partial 16S ribosomal RNA". It matches the Rfam family "Bacterial small subunit ribosomal RNA", at positions 329 to 792 of the family's 1533-position model. The record is from RNAcentral.